RNAcentral lists this long non-coding RNA (1094 nucleotides) under Phocoena sinus (vaquita). RNAcentral's name for it is "lncRNA (ENSPSNG00000013101.1)". Lineage: Eukaryota; Metazoa; Chordata; Mammalia; Artiodactyla; Phocoenidae. The record is from RNAcentral.
UGACCAAAUGCUGUGACUUCUGAAUCUGGAAGGCCAUGCAGCACAAGGCCAGGAGAAGCGUGGAUAGGGCACAGGUUUUGUCCUUUGCUCCCAGCCAUGGCCCCGACGCACAGAGAAGUGGACGCUGCGGUAGCUUCACCUUGACUUUUUUAUUUGCGUUUUUAAAAAACAAUUAAAUUAGAAUACAAAUAUUAGAAAACAGCGGCCCUCGGCUGCCAGUGCAGACGGAGGGAGGGCUGAACUGCACAACCGAGUUUAUACAGUAAAACUGAAUUUGCCCUCGACCAGAUUCAUGUCCCUUUCUUCUUUAGACCUGAAAUGAUAUUGCUUCCUGACUAGGAGAGUUCUGUUUAUACAAAGAAAAAAUAUUCCGGGUCUUGGGGGUGAGGGCUGUGGCGGGGAAGAAAAGAAAAAGCAGAAAGAAUGGCGGGCACAGGAGAUCUGGAGAACCAGGUGUGGCCUCCGGGGGACAAGGGUGCUGGGCGGGGGGCCGGGCACCCAGCUGCGGGUCCCUGGAGGCGUCUGGGGCCGCUCUGGGCCCCCGUGGUCGCUGGAUUGCCCCACCCCACCCCCCACCGGCCAGGAGCCACCUGGGUCUGGGCAGGGAGCUGAGGCCCAGUCCUGUUGGAAGACAAGAGUGAGGCUCCCAGGGGAGCGGGUGCCAGGCAGGCCUCGUACCCGUCGGAAAACCCAAGAGCAAGGAGAGGGGGAAGGAACCGCCCAGAAUGGAGAGGCCAGGGCAGGUCCUUGCCGACCCCUCGGAAGUGGCCACGCCCCCCUGCCCCGCUGAGGAGGGGGCUGGCGACGGCGGCGUCGGCGUCCGUGGACACCUGCGCUGUUCCGUAGGGAAGUUAACCUGAAUUGGAGUUACCGAGGUAGCUGGCUAGAAAACUGAGACCCCCCCCCACGCCACACGGUGCCGCGCUCUGGGGCCCCCGCCUUCCGCCGGGGGUCCUGGCCACACGCCGGGUCUUCAAAAUACCAAGUUAUUGCACUUUCAAAAAAUACAACACAUCUGUGGCUAAACCCUCCCUGGCCCCCCCCGCCCCGCCCCCCACUGCCCGGCCCCGCCCCCCCCUCCAUGGCUUCUUGGC